CCUACGGGAGGCAGCAGUAGGGAAUCUUCCACAAUGGGCGAAAGCCUGAUGGAGCAACGCCGCGUGGGUGAAGAAGGUCUUCGGAUCGUAAAACCCUGUUGUUAGAGAAGAAAGUGCGUGAGAGUAACUGUUCACGUUUCGACGGUAUCUAACCAGAAAGCCACGGCUAACUACGUGCCAGCAGCCGCGGUAAUACGUAGGUGGCAAGCGUUAUCCGGAUUUAUUGGGCGUAAAGGGAACGCAGGCGGUCUUUUAAGUCUGAUGUGAAAGCCUUCGGCUUAACCGGAGUAGUGCAUUGGAAACUGGGAAACUUGAGUGCGGAAGAGGAGAGUGGAACUCCAUGUGUAGCGGUGAAAUGCGUAGAUAUAUGGAAGAACACCAGUGGCGAAAGCGGCUCUCUGGUCUGUAACUGACGCUGAGGUUCGAAAGCGUGGGUAGCGAACAGGAUUAGAUACCCGGGUAGUC
This 465-nucleotide ribosomal RNA is filed under the name uncultured bacterium. Its description in RNAcentral is "partial 16S ribosomal RNA". It matches the Rfam family "Bacterial small subunit ribosomal RNA", at positions 338 to 795 of the family's 1533-position model. The record is from RNAcentral.